Molecule: ribosomal RNA, 253 nt
Filed under: uncultured bacterium
Lineage: Bacteria
Description: partial 16S ribosomal RNA
Rfam family: Bacterial small subunit ribosomal RNA
Source: RNAcentral
UACAGAGGGUGCGAGCGUUGUCCGGAAUCACUGGGCGUAAAGGGCGCGUAGGCGGUCUGGUAAGCGUGUGGUGAAAGCUCGGGGCUCAACCCCGAGUCGGCCGUGCGAACUGCUGGACUGGAGCAUGUCAGAGGCAGGCGGAAUUCCGGGUGUAGCGGUGGAAUGCGCAGAUAUCAGGAGGAACACCAAUAGCGAAGGCAGCUCGCUGGGACGUUACUGACACUGAGGCGCGAAAGCGUGGGGAGCGAACAGG